This 420-nucleotide ribosomal RNA is filed under the name Fusobacteriota bacterium. Its description in RNAcentral is "Fusobacteria bacterium partial 16S ribosomal RNA". It matches the Rfam family "Bacterial small subunit ribosomal RNA", at positions 355 to 776 of the family's 1533-position model. The record is from RNAcentral. Lineage: Bacteria; Fusobacteriati; Fusobacteriota.
UGGGGGAUAUUGCACAAUGGGCGAAAGCCUGAUGCAGCGACGCCGCGUGGGGGAUGAAGGCCUUCGGGUUGUAAACUUCUUUUGCUCUGAACAAGGCAUGCCUUUGGGGUGUGUUGAGUGUAGGGGUUGAUUAGCGCCGGCUAACUACGUGCCAGCAGCCGCGGUAAUACGUAGGGCGCGAGCGUUGUCCGGAAUUAUUGGGCGUAAAGGGCUUGUAGGUGGCUGGUUGCGUCUGUCGUGAAAGCUCAUGGCUUAACUGUGGGUUUGCGGUGGGUACGGGCUGGCUUGAGUGCAGUAGGGGAGGCUGGAAUUCCUGGUGUAGCGGUGGAAUGCGCAGAUAUCAGGAAGAAUACCGGUGGCGAAGGCGGGUCACUGGGCUGUUACUGACGCUGAGGAGCGAAAGCGUGGGGAGCGAACAGG